This 505-nucleotide ribosomal RNA is filed under the name uncultured bacterium. Its description in RNAcentral is "partial 16S ribosomal RNA". It matches the Rfam family "Bacterial small subunit ribosomal RNA", at positions 28 to 507 of the family's 1533-position model. The record is from RNAcentral.
GACGAACGCUGGCGGCGUGCCUAAUACAUGCAAGUAGAACGCACAGUUUAUACCGUAGCUUGCUACACCAUAGACUGUGAGUUGCGAACGGGUGAGUAACGCGUAGGUAACCUGCCUGGUAGCGGGGGAUAACUAUUGGAAACGAUAGCUAAUACCGCAUAAUAUUAAUUAUUGCAUGAUAAUUAAUUGAAAGGUGCAAUUGCACCACUACCAGAUGGACCUGCGUUGUAUUAGCUAGUAGGUGAGGUAACGGCUCACCUAGGCGACGAUACAUAGCCGACCGGGGGGGGUGAUCGGCCACACUGGGACUGAGACACGGCCCAGACUCCUACGGGAGGCAGCAGUAGGGAAUCUUCGGCAAUGGACGAAAGUCUGACCGAGCAACGCCGCGUGAGUGAAGAAGGUUUUCGGAUCGUAAAGCUCUGUUGUAAGAGAAGAACGGGUGUGAGAGCGGAAAGUUCACACUGUGACGGUAUCUUACCAGAAAGGGACGGCUAACUACGUG